CUACGGGGGGCUCCAGUGGGGAAUAUUGGACAAUGGGCGCAAGCCUGAUCCAGCAAUGCCGCGUGUGUGAAGAAGGCCUGCGGGUUGUAAAGCACUUUAAGCAGGAAAGAAGGGGUGGGAGUUAAUACCUUUCAUCAUUGACGUUACCUGCAGAAUAAGCACCGGCUAACUCCGUGCCAGCAGCCGCGGUAAUACGGAGGGUGCGAGCGGUAAUCGGAAUUACUGGGCGUAAAGCGCGCGUAGGCGGUUUGGUAAGUCUGUCGUGAAAGCCCUGGGCUUAACCUGGGAACUGCGGUGGAUACUGUCAAGCUAGAGUGUGGUAGAGGGGAGUGGAAUUUCCGGUGUAGCAGUGAAAUGCGUAGAGAUCGGAAGGAACACCAGUGGCGAAGGCGGCUCCCUGGACCAACACUGACGCUGAGGCGCGAAAGCGUGGGGAGCAAACAGGAUUAGAUACCCCGGUAGUC
RNAcentral lists this ribosomal RNA (464 nucleotides) under uncultured bacterium. RNAcentral describes it as "partial 16S ribosomal RNA". It matches the Rfam family "Bacterial small subunit ribosomal RNA", at positions 339 to 795 of the family's 1533-position model. The record is from RNAcentral.